UUAACUCAUAUUUGUAUGGAAUGGGAUCGUCUGCCUACGUUUGCCGCUAGGGGCGCUGUUCGAACUGCAUACAAAAUUGAGUUG
RNAcentral lists this microRNA precursor (84 nucleotides) under Bombyx mori (domestic silkworm). Its description in RNAcentral is "mir-2807 microRNA precursor family". It matches the Rfam family "mir-2807 microRNA precursor family". Lineage: Eukaryota; Metazoa; Arthropoda; Insecta; Lepidoptera; Bombycidae. The record is from Rfam by way of RNAcentral.